Molecule: non-coding RNA, 45 nt
Filed under: Schistosoma mansoni
Lineage: Eukaryota; Metazoa; Platyhelminthes; Trematoda; Strigeidida; Schistosomatidae
Source: RNAcentral
AUUCAACUGACGAGUCCUAAAUAGGACGUAAAGCGCGUCCUAGAU